UACGUAGGGCGCAAGCGUUGUCCGGAAUUAUUGGGCGUAAAGAGCUCGUAGGCGGUUUGUCGCGUCUGCUGUGAAAACCUAAGGCUCAACCUUGGGCUUGCAGUGGGUACGGGCAGACUAGAGUGCGGUAGGGGUGACUGGAAUUCCUGGUGUAGCGGUGGAAUGCGCAGAUAUCAGGAGGAACACCGAUGGCGAAGGCAGGUCACUGGGCCGAUACUGACGCUGAGGAGCGAAAGCAUGGGUAGCGAACAGG
RNAcentral lists this ribosomal RNA (253 nucleotides) under uncultured bacterium. RNAcentral describes it as "partial 16S ribosomal RNA". It matches the Rfam family "Bacterial small subunit ribosomal RNA", at positions 524 to 776 of the family's 1533-position model. The record is from RNAcentral.